This is a long non-coding RNA of Felis catus (domestic cat), 10329 nucleotides long. RefSeq lists it as uncharacterized. The transcript has 8 exons. The record is from RefSeq and is a predicted model, not a curated record. Lineage: Eukaryota; Metazoa; Chordata; Mammalia; Carnivora; Felidae.
AGAUUCCAUCAUUCUUUUUUUUAAUGUUGGAAAUGCUUCACUAAUUAACUGGGGCUUCAAGCGACCGCCUGUCUUCUCCUUGACAGCCCAAGUCACGGAAAGGAGACAAACACAGAGUAGGUCCUACCUGGAGUCUGCCUUGUGGCUGUCUGAGCUGACACAGAAUGACCAAGUUUGGAUACACAUAUUUAAAAUAUCUCUUCCAUCUCCCCCUCCUUUUGUGAAAGAUAGCUGUAUGCAUUUGGCCCAAGGCCUGUUACAGUUUUUCUGGAGGCAGCCAGACUUGGAACAUUCAAGAACACAGACGUAGGAACUGCAUAAAAAGGAGGAGCUCUCCCACCCUCGUCGGAGUGAACCGCUUGCCGUCUGACAGCAAACCUUUUGGGAAACAGCCAGCCUUGUCACCGUGCUUGAAGGCUUUUCAGGGCAUAGAGAGGACACGGUGCGGCUUGGCAGGCGCGUUCCGACUCCGGUCUGGUGUAGGGGUUGCACUCAGUCUCUCUGGCUGUUUUGUGUGUUCCCGUCUGACAGCUCACACUUCUCCGCCGUGUGCCUUGGCCGCAGGACACAGAGCACUAAGAAGAAAGACUGUGUGUUACCCAAGGCCCCGAGGGUGGAAUCCACCCGGCCAGGUAACAACUAUCCUGACGGAAGGAGUCGUCCCUCCCCGUCCCCAAGCUCCCCUCUGAAAAACCAAACCUGUGCAGACAAACGCAACCAACACGCCGGUGUCAGCCACGUGGCCCAAGGUAAGGAAGCAGUCGUAGAGGAGAAGCAUUGCUCACCUGACUCCAGGCGCCAGCUUUCCAUUUGGGGCAUCUUCCUCCUCUGCACUUUCUGUGCCCACUUGGCUUAGCAAGGUGUUUACAGUAAUCACUCUCUAAAUGGUUUCCAUCUUUUGCCAUGCAGUAAACAUUUCGUUGUUUAUGCCCUCGACCACAAGAGACAGAACACUGAAAUAUAAAGCAAUGGCAAGGUUGUUGUUGUGUUUUUUUUUUUUAAAUCACAUGGAGUUUGAUAAAAACCCGUGUCGUGAGAUGUUAAGAUCAUACCUGACAAGAGUCACCAUCUCCCCCCUUUUCCAACACCGUUUAAGGUAAUAUCUCAACGCUCUACACGGCAAGAAGAUAGCAUUCGGGGAAAAAAAAAUGUCCAUAGUAUUUCAGCAGCAAUCCUGCCUAGUAUUUUGGGUUCUUCAGGAGUGUGGGUAAAUCCUGACAAUCUUGGCCAAAAAAUAAAGCCAAUGAACCUGAAAUUACCAUGACAUCCUGAGUUUCUAAAAAAUCUUCCUAUGAAUUAGAAAGGAUGCCUUUCGCACAACUCACUCGAUGCAGGAUCGGGAUACUUCUUCAACCAAAUGCCUUGCGAUUCACUGAUUUGGAUAAAUGUGCAUUUCCAAAAUACAACUGUGUCCAAUUUCCUAAUGAAACGAUUUAAGGAAACUCUCCUACCAUUUUUCCGAGGAUAAACUCUCAUUUUCCCAGUCCGUCGGGAAGGAGGUGAAAAAGCCACAUUAGAAACCGAAAGGUAAGCUGGCAGGUAAGUCUGUGCCAAUUCUGGGAGGGGGGCAUUACCUUUCAACUUUGAUCUGCAAGUUCACUGAACUGUUUUAAAUGUGACCUUGUCUGACCACAUCUAAGGAACUUGACUUUGAUUUCAGAUUAGGUUUCUCAGAAAGGUCUAGGAAUCAAAGCGCCCAUGGAGUCAGGACAAAAAUUUGAUAUGACAGCUUCUUGUGGAACAGGCAAGAGGCUGGCCCCAAUGAGUGCACUGAGAUAUUCAACGUCCAUUGCCUCAUUAGCGAUUACAGAAGUCAUUACCACUUGGAUCAUAAGCUUGCUGGCUCAGAUUUUCAAGACACAUUACUUCCCAAUAUAACGUUCUUGACUUUUAGAGGGAAAUGAGUUUAAGAAUGAAGAACAAAACGGGAAACUGCAAUGGGAAUAGAUUUCGUGUCAUCGCCCCCUAUUCAAUAGUUCUUACUGCCCUCACUAACUUUGUGAUUUUGUUAACUUAAAUUACCAAAGUGCCCUUUCAUGCCUAAUAGAUAAAUAGCAUCACGUAAAACACGUAGCCUAGUAUUAAUUCAACCGCUGUUACCAAGCAUGUCCAAAGUUAUAUCAUUCAUAAAUGUGCCAGACCUCUUUCUCUGGUAAACACAAAUCAUUGUAAAGAUUUCAAUAGUAGCGAAUAGAUUGUUUUGAAAUAUGUAUAUUAAUAGGUUUGGCCCUGACUUUUUACUUUAGGAAAGGGAAACAUUGCUGGUUUCGUUUGGGCUUCAUCUUAUGACAGUAUUAUGAUUUGGAGAGGUCAUUCUGGAAAUCUUAACAGAGCAUACAGUGAGGAAGAAAGGAGCCCAAUUUGAAUAUUCAGAUCAAAACAAAAAUACCCAUCUUUCAACCUAUGGUGCUUUGACAUAAAUAAAGACUUGGGACAUAAUUCUGGAAGGUUUUUAAAAUGAAGCUCCUAGAAAUAUUCCUACAAACCACCGGUCUAAUGACUUGCAUACGGAAUAAUCUCUAUUGUUAGUGACUAAUUUUGGUCCUUAGAAACUUUCCUUGGACGAAUAAAUAACAAAGGGGCACAAGUGGGAUUUGGGAUGAGUUCCUCUGUGUUUAUUCAACAAACAUGUGAGCAACUACUAAGUUUCAAAAAUUAUGCGAAGGGCUGGAAAUAUAGUGAUGAAUGAAGUUGACUACUCCCCGCCCGCACGGAGCUUACAGGCCAGUGUUAAUCAAAACACUGCAAUGGUGACAAAAAACAAAUGCAUGCUUAUUAACAGAAAUGAGUGCUCUGAAGGACACAGGCUGCCAUGGGUACAAGAGGGCUCCUGAGGCUUCCCCCAGGGCCAGACCGUGCAGAGCUCAUAGGUCGUCAUAAUGCAUUUGGAUUUGGAAAAAUCACAGAAGAGUUUUAAAUCAGGGCAAAACACGGUCUCAUUUUUGCUUCAGAAAUUCUACCCUGGCUACUGAGAGGACAGUGGAUGAGCAUACAGCAUGAAGGGAAAUAGUAAAACUGCUCAGGAAGAGUUAGUGCACCGGUCCAGGCAAGAGGUGAUGGUGACACUAAAUAGGGUGCAGAGGUAUUGGGGUGGGGGAAGUCGGUGGACUUAUGACCUAUUUUUUUUUAAGGUAGAAAUGACAGUUUGUGGUGGAUCAGCCAUGGGAUGCAGGGCAGAAGGCAGACUCAGGAGGGACUCCUAGGUUUGCAGUAUGGGCAACCGGACAGUGAUGACGUUUACAGGCAUGGGAAAACAGCCCCGGGCGUCAAGGAUGUAUUUAUCUGUAGGAAAAAGACUGAACUUGAAAGAUACAGAUUCCUGGGUGGGAAAAUGUGUUUAAUGAAGAAAGAGGCAUAAUGGUGAUGAACAUGGAUGAACUUAAAACAAAUCCACCUAUAGGGAUAAUCAUUUCAACAUACAAGUCAUCCAAGCAAGCUGUCCUUUACUAUGAAGUGUGUGUGUGUGGGGGGAAGAAAGUUGAUGAAAAUGCUAAUUCAGUAAUCUGCAUGGCAUCGGAGGGACAGUCUAAAAGUAGACAGCAACCUACAGAGGCAGAAUGAGAAAAGGCACAGUAUUCUAGCGUUCAUUUAUGUGCCACCCACUCCUCUAAGACCGUGCGUGCAACAUCUCAUUUAAUCAUCCUAACAACCAUUGAGAUAGGUACUGUUAUUGGAGAUAACUAGUGUUUCCAACCUGGUGUAAGUAACCACAAAGCUUUCUAGAUACCUCUCCCCACAUGAUUCCAACACAGAUAGACAGAUGUCUGUUGAGGGCAAAGCCAACACAAGGGAAACAGUUAAAUUAUCACUAACAUCACUGAUACUAAUUCAUCUGAGGGGCACUACUGGUGUGACCCAUGCCUACUGCCCUUCAAAUGAAAGGGAACAAAGGAGUUCCCAAAUACGAUGCCUUAAACAUCCUGUUAACAUCUAGAUUAGCUACAUCCCACCCAUUCCUACGUGCGUUUUUCUUAUCUGGGGAUUUGAAUGGAACCGAUUUGGAAAAAAAGAAUGCAAUAGUUCAGCAUGACUCACAUAUUAUUUGCCUAAAAUGAAGAUCUAAGAGUGAUAAGGACAUUCUCGAGGUAACUAAUCAGAAAGAAAAAAAACCAACAACACUUUUCAUCUCAUGCUUUCUAACUUACCAGUGAAGAAAAGAAGCUGCUUAUGGAAAUUUUCAUAUCUAACAGGUUCAUGAGCGGGUCUAUUAUGAUUUCUCUAAAGAAGCUGUCAUUUUGAUAAUCAAAUAAACAAACGUUUCAGCUCUUCUACUCUGAGGGAAAUUUCCAUCUGAUCAUUUCCAGUCCUUUUCUAGACGCUGACUUUUGAGUCGAUGUGCAUCACUGAGAUUUAAGAGUAAAGUUCAGCGCAUCACCUACUAUGUGCUAUCUGUGGGCUACAUGUCUCAGGGUUCUUGCUCUGGGGAAUGUUUAAGUCCUUAAAUGGGCAGUGGAUAUAGCCUCCUAAAUUGCCAGUUGGAGUCCCACGUUUGCUCCUCUGGAGAAACAACCGAACAUGUUACGAGCAUGCUUUCUCCCCAGCUUUGCACAACACUCCCAAACAAUGGUAUAGUCUCUCCUUGUGACUUAGAAACGUCAAGGUCAGGUGUGCCUGGGUGGCUCAGUCAAUUGAGUGACUUCGGCUCAGGUCAUGAUCUCGCAUUUCGUGAGUUCGAGCCCCUUGUGGGGCUCUGUGCUGACAGCUUGGAGCCUGGAACCUACUUCAGAUUUUGUGUCUCCCUCUCUCUCUGUCCCUCCCCUGCUCACACUCUGUCUCUCUUUCUCUCAAAAAGAAAUCAAAACAUCUAAAAAAAAAAAAAAAAAAAAAAGAAACAUCAAGGUCAGUAUCCCAAAUGCCUGGGCUUUGAGGCUUUUGUUUCUGUGAGGCCAUUCAAAGGGGAUGUUUAACGUGAAGCUUUGUUCAGCUCUUGCCUUAACACGUUCUACUCGCCUAACGUCUUAAGAGUUUGACAUCCUUGCAUUUCAACUCAUCUGGCUGGAGACAAUGUACUCAAGGCAUGGGCAGUCUGCUCAUCAUCUCUCCUCUGGGCUUGUCCUCUCUCAGUGGUAGCCCUGGUUAUGGUGCCGGUUAGGGUCCGGCGUGCUACCGCUGGCAUUCGCGAUGCCCUGCUUCUGCCCUUUCACUUUUGUAGACGUGUGUGGUCUCUCAGACAUCGAGGAGCCAGCAAACAACCCCAGUGUGUCUGCCAGGAUGAGAAGGGCUGAGGACCUAGAGAGAGGGAGAUUCCUGCGUUGCCAAGGCAGCCGUGAACCUGAACAUGUGUGCAAAGACAGAGGAGAGCGCGGAAUUGGACCCUGGGAAGAAAGACACUCACACUGCAAAUACACAGUCACAGAAACGGAAACAUUCUGUUUACGCGUAAUGUGUGAUGGAGGAUGCUGAUCAACUAGCCCAUAUUUCCAACCACGGGACUGGCUGCCAGCAGGACCACCAUGGCACUUAUUACCAUGAAAAGGAGCCGAGAAAGCAGGAGAUUGGCAGGGAACACCAUGGAAGAAAGCAGAUGCGCGAGUCACGGUCAUCCCAGCCGGAUGGGGCACGAGGCCAUCCUUCCAUCUCCGUUGCCCCCAACACCGGCAGUCUUUGCGGUACUCCAAAGGUCUAAGACCGUGGGAGAAAAGGAACUAAGGAUCACAUGUCAACCCUUGGGGCACACUCGAAGGCUGCUCUCAAUACUACAGCCAAGUUAUAGGUGAUGAUUAUUUGUAAUCUGACAUCAGCAGAAUAAUCUUGCAGGAAAGAUGUGGAGAUGACAGAAGGAACGCAUGCCCUGUGCUUACCCCGGGAUUAUUCAUGAAGGCAGUCUGGAACAUAGGGGGAUAGGAGGACCCGGAGAGGCAUCAUCUAAAAUGUUCUCUGACCCACCAUGCUCAGAGUUGAGCCUGCGCUUCGGAAGGUAUAUUCGUAUGGGUAGUGUGGAGGUUGGAGACACGGCAUUUGCUUUCUGCUAGAGCACGAAAGAUUUGCAAAGUGGCAAAGGGAAGAGGAGAGGUAGAGCUUCAGAAACUUUCUUCCUCAGAGGUUCAUGCGCUGAAAAGCCAACUUAAUGCCACACAUCUGGAAAAGCUGAUCACCUACGUAUGGCUUCCUCUUAAGGAUUUAAAAAAAACUGGUGGGAAAUAAUUGAAGGCAUUGAUGGUGAAAACCUGCUGAUCUCUACAACGUAACAAUUUGUCUUUCCAGAAAGGAGAAAGGAAUUUUAUAACUUUUUAUUUUUAAUUUUAUAACUUUAAGGACUUCUCUGACUUAAAAAAAAAAUAGGAAUUUUGUAUCAGACGCAUUUGGGAAAUGCUGCAGUCUAUAUAUAGCCCACCUAAUGCCCAUGAGAAUAUGGAAAGAAAAGUUUUACUGUCAGAAAUCCAUAGAAAUGCAGGGAGGAGGCAAUAUCACCGCCCAGGGGAUGUGGCAACGUUUGAAGACAUUCUUGGCUAUUACAACCAGGAGGAUGGUUGGCAUCCAGUGGGUAGAAACAAGGAUGCUGUGUGACAUCUUACAAUGCACAGCCCAGCUCCCCAACAACAAAACUACCUGGUCCCACACGUCAACAGUGCUGAGACGGGGGUAUCCUGAUUCACUCCUAUUUACAACCCAUACGAUACUUUCUGCACCUCUGCCUUAGUCUCUAAUCAGAAAUACAAUCUGCUACUUCUCUGAUCAAAUGCAAAUGAGGAAUGAAUCCUACUUUUAAACAGUAUCCAAAAGAAAAACCAAAAUGUUCAACUCUGACACACCAAUUCCUAGAUACAGCCGGACUAUUACAUAUGUGCAAAUUCUAUCCUGGAUGAGGGAAAUACUGAUGCCGGAAACACGAAGUUAAAAGCAACUUAUAAGUACGAACUAUCAGUGCUACCAGAACAAUCCAAAGGUGUGAACAUGGCAGAGUAGCCCUUUUUAGAAAUGCCCAUCCUCGUGUGUGCCUUUGUUUCCAAAGUUGGUCACUCCUGCUAGAAUCGCCAUGCAGAAUGUCUACGCAUUACAUUGGACACAUUUGUAGACAUUUAUAACAAUUCUCCCUCCCGACUUCAAAAAAAGGAGGGACUCUACUCAUUGGUUUGCAAAUUCAGUCUGGUAAGACAACGUUGAGGCCACAUAUUUUCAGCUCAUCCUUGAAAGUGUUUGACUGACCUUGAUGGCUUCCCGCAAUCCCACAUAACAUAUAAUGGAAAAUUCAACUCUCUGGAGAGAACUGUUUUCUGAUAGCUAGCCAGUGACAUUCCUUGGGGCUUGCAUCUGUGACCUUGAGUUUGACUUUUGCUGAGGAGUCCUCCCUCUCCUCACCAGAUGUCUCUUUAGGGUUUCACAACCUUGGUACUAUGUCAACAUCUUGGGUGAGAUAAUUCUUUGCUGUUGGGGGCUAUGCUGUGCCUCGUAGGAUGCUUAUCAACAUCCCUGGCUUCCAUUUAUUAGAUACAAGUAGCACCCCCAACCCAUUUGAGACAGUCCUCAGACAUUGCCCAAUGUCCCCAGGGGGUAAAAAUCACCCCCAGUUGAAAACCACUGACUUAUCCUAAGGUUUUCAGAAAGUCCUUCAACAAAAUCUCAAAACGGAAUUGAUCGUAACUGAUUUAAUAGCCAUGGUGGGGCACAGAGAGCUUUUUCAUGGAAGGAAGUGGUAAAGGGCCUGCUGAACAUCAAUCCAAGAUCAAGGUCUUAGGCUAAAAGAGCUGGGAAGUCCUGGUCUCCAGAGAACGUGACAUGGACAACGUGAAACCAAUUCCCACACACAGCAAUGACUACAAUGAACAAACACGCUCUUCGGGACAGCACUUCCUCCCUGACAUCAUGUCCCUGGCCUGCCACCGCUAAGAGUUCCCGGAUAUUUCACAUAUGAUUAAAAAGACAACCAAUGAGAAGGAAAUAAUGAUUUCAACAAGAAAGGGCACAUUGUAAUGCAGAAAUAGGGCUCAGUGAAUAUGAAAAGCUGCCUUCUGGAGACUUCCUUCAAAGAGGGAAUGAUCUCUUGGAAUUCAAGCUUCUACAAGGUGACUACCUGGUGUUUUCCAUUUUUGUCUUCUCCUAAAAAGCAUCAAUCAAGCCUUGCCCUUUCGGCCCACUGAACACAUAAACACUCUUUUUCCCUAACUGAACUUACUGCCACGAUGAACUUGAACUCUAAGACGCACAAGAGGAGAGUUGUUUUAACAGCUGCUUUUACACUGAGGCUCUGGAGUUACUACCCUCAAGACAGCUGGUUCUGAUAAGCCUCUCUUCCCACUGUCCUGUUUUUUCUAAUGCCCAGCUGUCAGGGAACACCCACUGAAGUGUUCCCAAACAAAGGCACAAAACAGAAGAAAGGCAAGAGAAUGGUACUCAUUUGGAUGCAAGGGCAUCCUACAUAGGGACCCUUUACGAGCCGACACAGGGUUUUUCUCUCCAGCUUGCUUUUGUAAGUUUACGGAUUUCUCGGCUAGUUGCGGAUUAAUUGCUAAAGACGUUGCCUGAGGUUGCCCUGUCCAAUAUGGUAGCCACCAGCAACAGGUGGCUGUUUAGAUUUAGAGUAAUUAAAACGAAAUACAAUUUAAACUGCAGUAUCCUGUCGCACAUUUCAAGUGCUCCAUAUAAGCCACAUGCAGCUAGCAGAUUCCAUGCUGGAAAGCAAAAAGAGAGAACAUUUCCCUCAUUGUAGAGAGAUAUUGGACCGCACUGGCCAAGACAUACGCUCUUUCUAAGAGGGGAAAGGGGAUGCAGAUCUGGUAAGAAUGAUGGUUUUGUCCGUUGGGCCUGUAUCAAUUAUCUUCCAUACUACUUCCUGUGCACUCUUUUCUUGGCUGCCAAUGUUCCAUUUUCUACAUUUUUGGAAGGGGAGGUUGUGGUCUUUAAAACAAUCCAUGAAAAGGAUCCCACUUCAGAGGAAACAAAACAACAGGAAGCAAAGGUGGUGGUGUGGCAAUCCCCACGUUCUAGAUGUUUUUAUUGGUGAUCAUCAAAUAACAAAGGGGAAAAUGUAACUCGGCCAGGGCUUCCCACGUUUGGGUGGAGGCUGAGGACCCUGACAGAGAGAGAGGGUCCCUGCCUAUCCUGGCUCUCAGACCACGGACCUCACGCCUGGGUUAUAAUGUAGCAGUGAAUAGAAGAACACUCUCUGAUAAGACGUUUUUAAAGGUUCCGUGUCAUCAGCCAGGGAGCGUUUAUCACUGAAAAUGAUUGUGUAAUUGUACAUUUAAAAGGAAAGGUAGGAUGGAUAAUUUUUAUUUAAUGACCAAAGAUCAUUAGCAGCUAUGUGCUAAUGUACAAUUACACAAUACACACAGACACACACACACACACAGUAAGAGCAGUCUGUAUUUUUAUAUUGAUGGUUGUAAUGAGGCUGCCAGGAAAAAAAAUUGUCAGUUCUUUAAUUACACGGAUAAUUGGUUUGAUUCGUUUAACAACACAUUUUUUUCUUUCUCCGCUAGAAUAGCUCCGACUUGUUCACUGCUGUAUCCUUAGCACCUAGAACAGUGCCUGGCUCACAGCAGGCACAUAAAAAAGUAUUCGCUGAAAAAUAAAUGGUGACCCGCCUCCCCCUCCCCUUUUGAAAGGAAUGACCUAGAACUGUUUACUCCCUCUUCGUAAAAUCAAUCUACCUCAACUGCCUUUACUAAUCAGGAUUCCCUCCUAAACAAUUAGACGUGGACUCAAUCUCUCGCUCCCACUGUACAUUCCAAAGUUUUCAUUCCUUUCUGUUCCAGAAGGACAACUCGCUGACGUGAGUCAGUAAAAGGACCUACACUCCUCCUCAUGGUCUAAUAACUCUCCUACCCCUGUCUCCCCCAUCUUUGGACUUUUUAAAACUGUAAAAAUAGAAAUCUGUCAAGCUAUCAGGACAUAUCAGCUGUCAACAAUGGGGGGAGAAAAAGCUAGUUAAGUUUUAUCUCCAACGAGCUAGAUGCAGGCCAGUGUUUUGCUUGUUUUGAACACAUCUGAGAUGAGUGGGUUAUUGAGUCUUAAUCUACACUGAAUUUGGGUAUUUUGUAAUUUCAUAUGUUACAAUGUUUUGUUUAAAAAAGCCUUAUUUUUCACUACUUCGUAUGCAUAGAGCCAAAUAAUGUGUUGCUUACUUAUUUUUUAAAAGGCACCAGCAGUGUACUGAAGAUGUGUCCUCAUUGGUGAAAAAUCUUUUUCUUUAUAAAAAAUGCAUAUGCAUUUAAUGUGACAUUCCUGAUGACCAAAAUCUUCAUACUGUCCUCCUAAUCUGGCUGAUGUGAUAACUUUAAAAUGAAAGAGAGAUGUUCUGCCAUUCCUGAAACAUAACUAGCUGAAGUGUUUACAAGUGCUGGUUAUGGGAAUUUACCAAUAAUCGUAAUAAAUGUGGAUUAUUCUGUU